This is a long non-coding RNA of Anguilla rostrata (American eel), 644 nucleotides long. RefSeq lists it as uncharacterized. The record is from RefSeq and is a predicted model, not a curated record. The transcript has 2 exons. NCBI's taxonomy places the organism in Eukaryota, Metazoa, Chordata, Actinopteri, Anguilliformes, Anguillidae.
AGACAUAUACAAUGUAUUUUUUUCAGCAUGUAUAUUGAAUUAAUACCACUUUCACCACAGGAGCAUUGAGCUGAAGGAAAGAGCAGAGAGGCGUGUCUCUCCUCCUGUUGCCUGUGUGUGCAAACUGAGCCACUGGGGAGAACUAAUGCUGCAGUAACCAGAGGAACCCAGAGAGAACAAAUGUGUCCAUCAGCAGACUCCCUGUCAGUCAGCUGAUCAUAUGGCCAUAGCCAAGAUGAUGCUGAACUCUCUGGUUGACUCCUUUUCAGCCACCAUGACACCUUCCUACUGGAAAGUUUCUGAGCUGGAUGGGAAUCCCACACAGAGCUGCCUGCUUCAGAGGGGGCUGGAGUCCCUCCACUCACUGUAACACAACACCACCAACAAGCUCUGUUACACUCAAAUACAUCUGCAUUACAUUCUGUAUAUUACAUUCAUUUGUGUUAUUUUCAGCAACUGCUGUAUAAUGAUUUAUGAUCAUAAUGUGGUUUAAGAUUAUUAUGUGAAUCAUUGUCUUCUGUGGUGAAUGGAUAUGUUUCUCAUUCGUAGUUAAUAUACAAGCAUAGUUUACAUUGAUCAAAAUCAGCAAACUGUUUGAUGUUCAUAUGUUUUUCCAUAUGGUUAUUAAAUCAUUUGUUUUAAAA